UUAUCUAUAGGUUGAGCGUGUUAAGGGAGUUUACCUCACUGCAGGUGUACCUAGCACUUUUAUUGUGAUGGAGCAUAGAUUGCACUAUGAUUUCUGAAGAGGCUGCUCUUUAAAGAGAGCAAAGCCUUAUGGAAAAGUCAAGGUUUUUUUGUGGAAGACGUGAUGGAAACUAUUACAGCUCCAAUUCUCGCUAUUGCUAGAAAAAACAGAGGUAGCAGCAGAAGAGGAAAGUAAGCGCUAAAGUUGAGCCAGGAAUCUUAUACAAGUGGCUGGUAAAGAAGAGAUGAGGAGGGAUGUGAGCAGAGGCAACGGAGAGGCAGAGAUGAUACUGCUUUGUGUCGGCAUGGAGUUGGAUGCUUGCACACAAAUAUGUGCCAGGUGAUGACACUGGUUACAAGUAAUCAUGAACUGAAGAUUACAACCAGAAAAUUCAGAGCUCUCUUUUGAAAAGAUGACUCAAAGUGCAGGGAUGGAAAAACAGUGGUGCAUAACAGCAGUUCUGGACAAUAGAUUCUGCUCCCUUCCACUCCAUGGGGAAUGUCAGUGACAACCCCACACAUAUCAGCAUA
Long non-coding RNA from Chiroxiphia lanceolata (lance-tailed manakin), 569 nucleotides. RefSeq lists it as uncharacterized. Lineage: Eukaryota; Metazoa; Chordata; Aves; Passeriformes; Pipridae. The record is from RefSeq and is a predicted model, not a curated record. The transcript is spliced from 4 exons.